RNAcentral lists this long non-coding RNA (889 nucleotides) under Gossypium barbadense (sea-island cotton). Its description in RNAcentral is "long non-coding RNA (GBAR_LNC013721)". Lineage: Eukaryota; Viridiplantae; Streptophyta; Magnoliopsida; Malvales; Malvaceae. The record is from RNAcentral.
UUUUCUAUACAUACAUAAAUCAUCCAACAGAUGUGUAAUAUUUUGUAAUGUCAAGGUUCUCAUUACAGUCAAAUGAAGUCCAUGGUCGUUAAUUCCAUGCAAUAAAAGAUCAUGAGUGUAAUACCCAUUUUCGCCCGGCCCAUAAACCAAUUAUAAACCCAAUAAAAAUAGUCCAAUUACAAUUGAAGCCCAAUCACUAAAUCCAAUUACAAUACUCACAUAACCCAAUAUCCAGAAAACCCAAUCAGCUCAAGUCACCUAACCCUAACCCAACACAAAAUAUUUUUCAGCCAACAGAAACCCUAGCAUCGGCCCUCCUUCCAGCACCGCAGCCACCAGGGCCUCCCCGCGCGUGAUGCGCCUCUGCGAGCGUGCACCUUCGUACGGCCGUACCUGCAGCAGACACAAAGAAACAGCAACAGAAAUAACCACGCAAAAAAGGAAAAUAACAGCAAGGAUAAAUUGGAAUUUUAUGAUUGUAUUUUUAAUUUUUAUUUGGAUCCGGCUAUAUAAAGCCGUUUUUGAAUCUGUAAAAGGGGUUCUUCCUCUACGCAAGAUCAAUAAAAAAAAAUUAAAUACCAGUUUUGCUCGAAGGUAGUCUCUGAUUUAUUUUAGAUAGUUUCUUUUUUUUUUCCUCUCUUUUCUUUUUAAUUCGAAAGAAGAAGCGGAAUAAAGGAGGGAAAAUCUAAAAAGCUUACCUUUUUGCCAUCGUGAGACCGAGGUUCGCCGAUUCCCAUGAAAAUCGGCUCCUUUUUGCCUUAGAAUCAAAAAACGAGGGAAAACGGAAAUUUUUUGGGUUUCCGGCAGUCGCCGACGCGAUGGUUUGGCGAGCUGGCCGACCGGAUUCUGGGUUUUGAAGGAGAAAGAGAGAGAGGUUUCUCCGUUUUUU